RNAcentral lists this ribosomal RNA (557 nucleotides) under Debaryomyces hansenii. RNAcentral describes it as "eukaryotic LSU rRNA". It matches the Rfam family "Eukaryotic large subunit ribosomal RNA", at positions 84 to 660 of the family's 3401-position model. Lineage: Eukaryota; Fungi; Ascomycota; Pichiomycetes; Serinales; Debaryomycetaceae. The record is from RNAcentral.
UACGGGCGAGUGAGCGGCAAAGCUCAAUUUGAAUCUGGCACCUUCGGUGUCCGAGUUGUAAUUUGAAGAAGGUAACUUUGGAGUUGGCUCUUGUCUAUGUUCCUUGGAACAGGACGUCACAGAGGGUGAGAAUCCCGUGCGAUGAGAUGCCCAAUUCUAUGUAAAGUGCUUUCGAAGAGUCGAGUUGUUUGGGAAUGCAGCUCUAAGUGGGUGGUAAAUUCCAUCUAAAGCUAAAUAUUGGCGAGAGACCGAUAGCGAACAAGUACAGUGAUGGAAAGAUGAAAAGAACUUUGAAAAGAGAGUGAAAAAGUACGUGAAAUUGUUGAAAGGGAAGGGCUUGAGAUCAGACUUGGUAUUUUGCGAUCCUUUCCUUCUUGGUUGGGUUCCUCGCAGCUUACUGGGCCAGCAUCGGUUUGGAUGGUAGGAUAAUGACUAAGGAAUGUGGCUCUACUUCGGUGGAGUGUUAUAGCCUUGGUUGAUACUGCCUGUCUAGACCGAGGACUGCGUCUUUUGACUAGGAUGUUGGCAUAAUGAUCUUAAGCCACCCGUCUUGAACC